GUGUCAGCAGCCGCGGUAAUACGUAGGGACCUAGCGUUGUCCGGAAUCAUUGGGCGUAAAGCGCGCGUAGGCGGCCCGGUAAGUCCGUUGUAAAAGUCGAAGGCUCAACCUUCGAAAGCCGAUGGAUACUGCCGGGCUAGAGUCCGGAAGAGGCGAGUAGAAUUCCUGGUGUAGCGGUGGAAUGCGCAGAUAUCAGGAGGAAUACCCAUAGCGAAGGCAGCUCGCUGGGACGGUACUGACGCUGAGGCGCGAAAGCGUGGGGAGCGAACAGGAUUAGAUACCCUGGUAGUCC
This 292-nucleotide ribosomal RNA is filed under the name uncultured bacterium. RNAcentral describes it as "partial 16S ribosomal RNA". It matches the Rfam family "Bacterial small subunit ribosomal RNA", at positions 505 to 796 of the family's 1533-position model. The record is from RNAcentral.